RNAcentral lists this transfer RNA (73 nucleotides) under Bacteroidetes bacterium QS_8_64_10. RNAcentral's name for it is "tRNA-Met". It matches the Rfam family "tRNA". Rfam says of the family: Transfer RNA (tRNA) molecules are approximately 80 nucleotides in length. Their secondary structure includes four short double-helical elements and three loops (D, anti-codon, and T loops). Lineage: Bacteria; Pseudomonadati; Bacteroidota. The record is from RNAcentral.
GGACCCGUAGCUCAGCGGUUAGAGCUGCCGGCUCAUAACCGGUAGGUCGCAGGUUCGAAUCCUGCCGGGUCCA